UCCAUUGUGAGGUGGAAUCUGAAGAAAGUCGGAUGGCAAAUCUCCAGUCUGACAAAUAGAAAUCACAUCAGGCUAUGGCUAAGGAUAAGGUUGCCUGACAAACUGAAGUCCAAUAACUACUCGGAAUUAGCUGUGGUAAAUGUGGUAGAUAGGUGGAGAGAAAGAAACGUGU
Molecule: non-coding RNA, 172 nt
Organism: Catonella morbi ATCC 51271
Lineage: Bacteria; Bacillati; Bacillota; Clostridia; Lachnospirales; Lachnospiraceae
Source: Rfam